GAUGAAGAACGUAGCGAAAUGCGAUAAGUAAUGUGAAUUGCAGAAUUCAGUGAAUCAUCGAAUCUUUGAACGCACAUUGCGCCCUCUGGUAUUCCGGGGGGCAUGCCUGCUCGAGCGUCAUUAUAACCACUCAAGCUCUCGCUUGGUAUUGGAGUUCGCGAUCUCGCGGCUCCUAAAAUCAGUGGCGGUGCCUGUCGGCUCUACGCGUAGUAAUACUCCUCGCGAUUGAGUCCGGUAGGUUUACUUGCCAGCAACCCCCAAUUUUUACAGGUUGACCUCGGAUCAGGUAGGGAUACCCGCUGAACUUAAGCAUAUCAAUAAGCGGAGGA
RNAcentral lists this unclassified non-coding RNA (329 nucleotides) under soil metagenome. RNAcentral's name for it is "partial contains 5.8S ribosomal RNA, internal transcribed spacer 2, and large subunit ribosomal RNA". The stretch from base 1 to 120 matches the Rfam family "5.8S ribosomal RNA", at positions 35 to 154 of the family's 154-position model. The record is from RNAcentral.